GCCUCCAUAGCUCAGUGGUUUAGAGCACCAGUCUAGUAAACUGGGGGUCGAGAGUUCGAUUCUCUCUGGAGGCA
Thrips palmi is the source of this 74-nucleotide non-coding RNA. NCBI's taxonomy places the organism in Eukaryota, Metazoa, Arthropoda, Insecta, Thysanoptera, Thripidae. The record is from the annotation of a RefSeq genome assembly.